CAGACCCAAUUUUUUUGGGUCCCGCGUCAAGACCUAACUCGCUUGGGUCCGGCGUAAGGACCUAAUUUUCUUGGGUCUUGCAUUAGGAUCCAAGACUAAUGGGUCUU
Populus trichocarpa (black cottonwood) is the source of this 107-nucleotide non-coding RNA. The record is from Rfam. Lineage: Eukaryota; Viridiplantae; Streptophyta; Magnoliopsida; Malpighiales; Salicaceae.